RNAcentral lists this ribosomal RNA (809 nucleotides) under uncultured bacterium. Its description in RNAcentral is "bacterial SSU rRNA". It matches the Rfam family "Bacterial small subunit ribosomal RNA", at positions 8 to 806 of the family's 1533-position model. The record is from RNAcentral.
AGAGUUUGAUCCUGGCUCAGAUUGAACGCUGGCGGCAUGCUUUACACAUGCAAGUCGGACGGCAGCACAGAGAAGCUUGCUUCUUGGGUGGCGAGUGGCGAACGGGUGAGUAACAUAUCGGAACGUACCGAGCAGUGGGGGAUAACUAAUCGAAAGAUUAGCUAAUACCGCAUAUAUUCUGAGGAAGAAAGCAGGGGACCAUUUGGCCUUGCGCUGUUUGAGCGGCCGAUAUCUGAUUAGCUAGUUGGUGGGGUAAAGGCCUACCAAGGCGACGAUCAGUAGCGGGUCUGAGAGGAUGAUCCGCCACACUGGGACUGAGACACGGCCCAGACUCCUACGGGAGGCAGCAGUGGGGAAUUUUGGACAAUGGGCGCAAGCCUGAUCCAGCCAUGCCGCGUGUCUGAAGAAGGCCUUCGGGUUGUAAAGGACUUUUGUCAGGGAAGAAAAGGGCGGGGUUAAUACCCCUGUCUGAUGACGGUACCUGAAGAAUAAGCACCGGCUAACUACGUGCCAGCAGCCGCGGUAAUACGUAGGGUGCGAGCGUUAAUCGGAAUUACUGGGCGUAAAGCGGGCGCAGACGGUUACUUAAGCAGGAUGUGAAAUCCCCGGGCUCAACCUGGGAACUGCGUUCUGAACUGGGUGACUAGAGUGUGUCAGAGGGAGGUAGAAUUCCACGUGUAGCAGUGAAAUGCGUAGAGAUGUGGAGGAAUACCGAUGGCGAAGGCAGCCUCCUGGGAUAACACUGACGUUCAUGCCCGAAAGCGUGGGUAGCAAACAGGAUUAGAUACCCUGGUAGUCCACGCCCUAAA